GGCAGUGUGGCCUAGUGGCUAGGGCACUGAACUAGCACUCAGGAAACCUGGGGUCUAUUCCCAGAUCUGCUG
Molecule: transfer RNA, 72 nt
Filed under: Chelonia mydas (Green sea turtle)
Lineage: Eukaryota; Metazoa; Chordata; Testudines; Cheloniidae
Rfam family: tRNA
About the family: Transfer RNA (tRNA) molecules are approximately 80 nucleotides in length. Their secondary structure includes four short double-helical elements and three loops (D, anti-codon, and T loops). Further hydrogen bonds mediate the characteristic L-shaped molecular structure. tRNAs have two regions of fundamental functional importance: the anti-codon, which is responsible for specific mRNA codon recognition, and the 3' end, to which the tRNAs corresponding amino acid is attached (by aminoacyl-tRNA synthetases). tRNAs cope with the degeneracy of the genetic code in two manners: having more than one tRNA (with a specific anti-codon) for a particular amino acid; and 'wobble' base-pairing, i.e. permitting non-standard base-pairing at the 3rd anti-codon position.
Source: Rfam by way of RNAcentral